Alligator sinensis (Chinese alligator) is the source of this 5343-nucleotide RNA transcript. It is a transcript of the gene named glycerophosphodiester phosphodiesterase domain containing 5, with no coding region annotated. The record is from RefSeq and is a predicted model, not a curated record. The transcript is spliced from 19 exons. NCBI's taxonomy places the organism in Eukaryota, Metazoa, Chordata, Crocodylia, Alligatoridae.
CCUUUGUGGCUGAUGACAUCAUGUUUUAUUUCUCAUGGAUGUCGAAAGGGGAGGGGGCCGGCACCCUGUCUUGCUACUUCCGAAAGACAUCCAUAAAAAAGAGAAGAAACGGCGAGAGGCGGUGGAUUGAGACAGCUGGGAGCAAACAGGGUAGGACCAGAGAAAAAUUCCUCAGUUUACAGUGCGCAUGUCGGUCGUUGUGAGCACCGGCGCAGGCCUGUGAACCCGCUGGCAAAACGAAUCCCAAGAGGAAGCAGCAGCCCACCGCGUGGCCACGACGCCCAGUUGUGUUCGCUCAGUUGUCGUGGUGUGGUGUGCCUGGUUGUCAGCAGGGCUCGAAGAUUGGUGGUCUCGACUGGAUCAGCAAGAUCACCUUGGUUCUCAUUGCACAACGGAGGAGUUCCUAUUUUUUUCGGAAGAUGGCAGUGUCCGGCUGGCCAGGUCACUCCCAGGAAGAACGCCGUAUUUGCGCGUAGGCAGGCCAGGUCCUUUGGCAGUUCCAGCACGGUGGGUCUGUCCCACUUAAGUCGUUCUGGUACAUUAAAGCUGCAGCGGACUGAAACAUUCACAGUGCAGACAGCAACUUAACGGCACUCCUAAGACCUGAUGGACUUCUGCUAGCUCGUUCCUGAAGAGCUGGAAAGAGCAUGGUUAAACACCAACCGUUGCAGUACUACGAGCCACAGUUAUGUUUGUCGUGUCUGACGGGAAUCUAUGGCUGCCGUUGGAAACGGUACCAGCGGUCACAUGACGAUACAACAAAGUGGGAGCGUCUCUGGUUUCUAAUCCUCACCUUCACUUUCUUCCUGACGCUGAUCUGGUUUUAUUUCUGGUGGGAAGUUCAUAAUGACUACAACGAGAUCAACUGGUUUUUGUAUAACCGGAUGGGAUAUUGGAGUGACUGGUCCAUUCCAAUACUUAUAACAACUGCUGCUGGCUUUACUUACGUUACAGCGUUGUUGAUUUUAGCACUAUGUCACAUAGCAGUGGGACAGCAAAUGAACCUACACUGGCUCCACAAGAUUGGACUGAUUGUGACCUUGAUAGCUACCGUUAUAACCAUGUCUUCUAUAGCACAGCUUUGGGAUGAUGAAUGGGAGAUGGUAGUUAUUUCAUUGCAAGCCACAGCUCCAUUCCUGCACAUAGGAGCCCUUGUUGCAGUCACAGCCCUGUCCUGGUUGAUAGCGGGGCAGUUUGCAAGAACGGAAAAAGCCACUUCUCAGAUGCUGACAUUCACUGCAUACUUUGCAGUCGUAGUUGCACUUUACCUCGUUCCACUCACUAUCUCUUCCCCUUGUAUAAUGGAGAAGAAGGACCUGGGACCAAAGCCUGCCAUCAUUGGUCAUCGUGGAGCACCAAUGCUGGCACCUGAAAACACUCUGAUGUCCUUCCAAAAGGCAGUGGAGCAGAAAAUAUAUGGCGUGCAAGCUGACGUAGUGAUAAGCUAUGACGGAGUGCCAUUCCUCAUGCACGAUGAGACGCUCAGGAGAACGACAAAUGUGGAGGAGGUGUUUCCAGAGCUGGCCUACAAACAGUCGUCCAUGUUCAACUGGACGGACCUGGAGAAGCUGAAUGCUGGUGGAUGGUUCCUAAAGGAUGACCCCUUCUGGACAGCUGGUGCCCUCUCAGCUUCUGAUUACGUGGAAGCUGGGAACCAAUCUGUCUGUAAGCUGGAAGAUAUGUUACAGAUCAUAAAGGACAACACUUCAUUGAUCCUGAACUUCCAGAACCUGCCACCGGAUCAUCCUUACCACAGCACUUACAUCAACAUCACCCUGGAGACCAUCCUGAUGUCGGGGAUUCAGCAGCAGGCAGUGAUGUGGCUGCCCGAUACGGAGCGGCAGCUGGUGAGGCAGAUUGCGCCUGGUUUCCAGCAGACUUCUGGCAUCAAGGCCGGCGUCGAGCGCUUGAGAGAGAAGGGCAUCAAGAAGCUGAACCUGCGCUACACCAAGGUCACCAGCGAGGACAUCAGGGAAUAUGCCACAGCGAAUCUGAGCACUAAUCUCUACACUGUGAAUGAGGCUUGGCUUUACUCCAUCCUGUGGUGCGCUGGCGUUCAGUCUGUCACAUCCGAUAGCUCGCAUAUCCUCAGCAAGGUGCCUUUUCCCAUCUGGAUACUGCCUCCAGACGAGUACUGUCUAAUAUGGAUAACAUCUGAUAUCAUUUCAUUUACCAUAAUUGUAGGAGUUUUUAUAUUCCAGAAAUGGCGGCUAGGAAGCAUACGGACCUAUAACCCCGAGCAAAUCAUGCUCAGUGCUGCUGUUCGCAGGUCCAGUCGGGAUGUCAAAAUCAUGAAGGAGAAACUGAUCUUUUCUGGUUCUACCGUCUGAAGUCUGCCUGAUUCACUGACAAAAUUUCUUGUUGGCUUUUUUUUUUUUCUUUUAUCUUUUUUUUUUUUUUUUUCCAAAAGACUCUAGUCGUUACAAGAAAUCAACAACGGAGGGGAGAAUACGGACGAGCUGUCGCUGUGCUCUGAAAACGGCUACUCCAACGAGGUUGUCACCCCCAUGGACCAUCGGGACAUGAAGCUGCGCAUGGACUGAGGAACUGGAAAGGAAACCCAAUGGCACAACAAUAAACCCUGCCGUUCUUGUUGCAAUGAGUGGCGUUGGCUCUCUUCCGAACCCAAUGGCAUGGGGACCCUUCUGGAACUACUGAAUGUGUGGACAUCCUCCCCUUCUCUGGUCACUGGCUCCCCAUGCCUCUCUGGACUGCGUGGUCGGGGAGGGGCUUUGUGUACAUAUGUAGAAAGUCCAAUUUUUUUGUCCUUUUUCUUGUAUUUUUGGAGAUUGUAUGCAUUUCUUUUAGUGCACAAGCGGACAUAACGUGCCCACGAAAAAUGUCGGCAUUUUGGCCAAAGCUGAUGACAAAUUUUGAAGUGACGGCCUGGACGUUGGGGUAGGCAGGUGGAGUGUCCCACAACCCCCCUCCCACUCCCCUCGAUGUGGCGAUUGUGUAGCUGACCUUGUUUAAAAGUGUAUGUCGUGACGUUCUUGUGAAGUGUCCCUUUCUUUUUCUGGGUAAUGCCGUUUUCAGCUGAAUUUCAUAGAAGACCGGUCAGAGAGAGACCGGUCUUCUCCUAGCAGAGGAGACGGUGCUGCCCCCAGGCAGCCUUCAGGGGCAGAGGAAGGCAAUGGCUUAAUUGCUUUCCUGCUUCCCUGGAGCAGUAGGAAGUGCUCGAGGUUAAGCUGUUGAUGGGCUUUCAAGCUAAUGCCACUGUCCUUACCCCGACCUAAAUGAAGACAGUAGUCACCCAUAAUUGGCAGGAAACCUCCUACUACUAUGAAGAGCCUGGUACCAGGCCAUUUUAAGGAGGUGCCACCUGCUGCCAAUCCAAUGCCUGCCAGUGUAAAGAUAUUAUGCAUUGCCCCAUAAUCCCCUUUCCUGGCACCAGAUAGUAAGGGGCCUCGCUCCCGCAUUUCUCCAUCACAGAGGCAAGUUGCUGUGCGGGGGUGAGGAAAUCUGGUUUAUAAAUGGGCAAAUGUGAAGUUGGUCCAAGGGAGUCACUUAUUUAACCAAGGGGACGUUCUCCUUAUUCUGCAAUAAAUGUUUACAGAUUACAGGUUUAAUUUCCUCCAAAGGAGUCCGCUGCAGAAACAACUGAAAUGCCCACACAGAAAAUCCUGUGCUAAAAUAAAAGGGAAAAAAUGGCCAGACAUGGUGUGCAUCAAAGAUGCAUUUAUUUUUCUCUUCCAAAGUAUUUUCCCACCCCUCGCUCCCUCCUGUUCCUUCUUUUUCCACACAUUGCAACUGGGCCAUGACAACAAAUGUGCAUCUGCAUUUUGCCGGUUUUUGGGCUGCAAGAAAUAGUUGGCAGCUCUUCCCUCUCUUGGCCUCAUGGGGAGGACUCUUGCUUGUGGCUGGUCCCAAAGCCAGUUGAAGCCUGACAGAGUCCACCAAUUCUUGGUAGCGUUUGUAACUUCAGGACACAUGUACAUUAGCACCUAAGGGCACCGGCAGGAAACGGGCUCAGCCCUUGCUUUGCUUCUGUGCAUGCCAACAGCCAGAAAUGACACCGAGGGCCGCUCUACAGCAGCUACGUUGCCUCACUUCCAGGACAUGGUGCAUAUGAACCCAAAGGAUAUGUGCAGGGCCUGGUUCACGGUGAUGCUCCUGGCUGGGCACUCAAGUGAUGCGUAGACAACCAACCCCUUUGUUCUGGAUAACACAAGAAACAUGGAGGGUAAGAAAUGCCAGUGAUCACCGGCUGCCUUGCAAGCCCAGCAAACACUGCCGUGAAGACCAUUUGGGUGUGAAAUCUGUCCCCUGGGGAGGGAUCUGAGUCAUGUCUUCAAAGGACAAAAUGGGAUUUCUUCCUACUGUCCUACCUGGCAUCACCCUUGUUAAACAGAGAGCAAUCUGCCAUAGGUGCUGUACGGUCAUAGGAUGGAGAUCUUUGAAGUGGCUUUAUCACAUCAUGAGAGCAGCAAGAUUUUUCUUGAAGCUGGUUUUUGCAAUGAUUUUUAAAACAUAGCGGUUCCCCAACAGCUUUAGACCCCAAAUCCCAACCUGGAGCAUAAGACCUGGGAAACAAACCUGACCGGAAGGUAAAGCUGAUGAUACAACUGAAUGAAGUGGAAGGGGGAAAAAAUUAAGAAACUAACCCCGGGAGUGGAUGGAAAAACAUUCUUGGAUUUUUAUUUUUAUUUUUUUUGGUUUGAAAAUUAAAUGUGCUAUUUGUAACCCUAAGAAUGAAACCUAUUAUAAUCUGUGUCUUAAGACAGCUUUCAAAAAUGCAAGGCCAGACUCUUGGUUGCUGCUGUGAUCGUUUUACUUUGGAUUUAAACCUAUUGGAGUUUAAUCUGGGUUUCUCCCAGUGUAGAUGUGGAUCAGCACGUGACCCAGUCAGUGUAUUGCCCCCUGCUGUGCUGUCUUUUAUUCGGUGCUCUCUCCCGCUGAUGAAAUCAGAUGGUUUUUUUGCAGACUGGGGGGGGAAAAACACAUCUGUGCUGUUGGCCCGAAGCCUUCUGAGAAGAGCUGCAGUCGUGGGGCUGUUUUUUGAACCGUUCCCGGCUGCACUUGGUAGCCCCUGAGAGACUCUUUUACAUCUCGCUAUCUGCGGACGAUCACCUGCACGUCCACACCCUGACCUCGGAGUCGGCUUUGUUGAAAGAGCAGAUGCUCAACAGCCUGGAAGGGUUGGAAGAAACCUAGUAAGACCUUGUCGACUCGCAACACACACUUCUUGCUAAGAGACUCAAACCUUUCUGGUUCUGCCGUGAUGACCGCUGUCAUCCUGCCAAUUGACUCCCAAAACCAAUAUGCGUUUGCAGUGAAAAGGGGUCUAGACCAAAAUCAGUCCCACAGUCCUCUGUGAAAUAAAAUGUCAGUAUUUCUCUGCUA